Molecule: ribosomal RNA, 112 nt
Filed under: Acanthosepion pharaonis
Lineage: Eukaryota; Metazoa; Mollusca; Cephalopoda; Sepiida; Sepiidae
Source: RNAcentral
UUACGGCCACAUCACGAUUAAAUACUGUUCUCAUACGAUAACCGAAAUUAAGCAACGUUGUGCCAGUUCAGAACCUACAUGGGUGACCGCUUGGGAAUAUCCGGUGCUGUAA